Molecule: ribosomal RNA, 900 nt
Filed under: Staphylococcus aureus
Lineage: Bacteria; Bacillati; Bacillota; Bacilli; Caryophanales; Staphylococcaceae
Description: partial 23S ribosomal RNA
Rfam family: Bacterial large subunit ribosomal RNA
Source: RNAcentral
UAGUAUUUGGUCGUAGACCCGAAACCAGGUGAUCUACCCUUGGUCAGGUUGAAGUUCAGGUAACACUGAAUGGAGGACCGAACCGACUUACGUUGAAAAGUGAGCGGAUGAACUGAGGGUAGCGGAGAAAUUCCAAUCGAACCUGGAGAUAGCUGGUUCUCUCCGAAAUAGCUUUAGGGCUAGCCUCAAGUGAUGAUUAUUGGAGGUAGAGCACUGUUUGGACGAGGGGCCCCUCUCGGGUUACCGAAUUCAGACAAACUCCGAAUGCCAAUUAAUUUAACUUGGGAGUCAGAACAUGGGUGAUAAGGUCCGUGUUCGAAAGGGAAACAGCCCAGACCACCAGCUAAGGUCCCAAAAUAUAUGUUAAGUGGAAAAGGAUGUGGCGUUGCCCAGACAACUAGGAUGUUGGCUUAGAAGCAGCCAUCAUUUAAAGAGUGCGUAAUAGCUCACUAGUCGAGUGACACUGCGCCGAAAAUGUACCGGGGCUAAACAUAUUACCGAAGCUGUGGAUUGUCCUUUGGACAAUGGUAGGAGAGCGUUCUAAGGGCGUUGAAGCAUGAUCGUAAGGACAUGUGGAGCGCUUAGAAGUGAGAAUGCCGGUGUGAGUAGCGAAAGACGGGUGAGAAUCCCGUCCACCGAUUGACUAAGGUUUCCAGAGGAAGGCUCGUCCGCUCUGGGUUAGUCGGGUCCUAAGCUGAGGCCGACAGGCGUAGGCGAUGGAUAACAGGUUGAUAUUCCUGUACCACCUAUAAUCGUUUUAAUCGAUGGGGGGACGCAGUAGGAUAGGCGAAGCGUGCGAUUGGAUUGCACGUCUAAGCAGUAAGGCUGAGUAUUAGGCAAAUCCGGUACUCGUUAAGGCUGAGCUGUGAUGGGGAGAAGACAUUGUGUCUUCGAGUCGUU